RNAcentral lists this ribosomal RNA (1360 nucleotides) under bacterium NLAE-zl-G201. RNAcentral describes it as "16S ribosomal RNA". It matches the Rfam family "Bacterial small subunit ribosomal RNA", at positions 95 to 1463 of the family's 1533-position model. The record is from RNAcentral.
GUGGCGGACGGGUGAGUAACGCGUAAAGAACUUGCCUUACAGACUGGGACAACAUUUGGAAACGAAUGCUAAUACCGGAUAUUAUGACUGAGUCGCAUGAUUUGGUUAUGAAAGCUAUAUGCGCUGUGAGAGAGCUUUGCGUCCCAUUAGUUAGUUGGUGAGGUAACGGCUCACCAAGACGAUGAUGGGUAGCCGGCCUGAGAGGGUGAACGGCCACAAGGGGACUGAGACACGGCCCUUACUCCUACGGGAGGCAGCAGUGGGGAAUAUUGGACAAUGGACCAAAAGUCUGAUCCAGCAAUUCUGUGUGCACGAUGAAGUUUUUCGGAAUGUAAAGUGCUUUCAGUUGGGAAGAAGUCAGUGACGGUACCAACAGAAGAAGCGACGGCUAAAUACGUGCCAGCAGCCGCGGUAAUACGUAUGUCGCAAGCGUUAUCCGGAUUUAUUGGGCGUAAAAGCGCGUCUAGGCGGUUUAGUAAGUCUGAUGUGAAAAUGCGGGGCUCAACCCCGUAUUGCGUUGGAAACUGCUAAACUAGAGUACUGGAGAGGUAGGCGGAACUACAAGUGUAGAGGUGAAAUUCGUAGAUAUUUGUAGGAAUGCCGAUGGGGAAGCCAGCCUACUGGACAGAUACUGACGCUAAAGCGCGAAAGCGUGGGUAGCAAACAGGAUUAGAUACCCUGGUAGUCCACGCCGUAAACGAUGAUUACUAGGUGUUGGGGGUCGAACCUCAGCGCCCAAGCUAACGCGAUAAGUAAUCCGCCUGGGGAGUACGUACGCAAGUAUGAAACUCAAAGGAAUUGACGGGGACCCGCACAAGCGGUGGAGCAUGUGGUUUAAUUCGACGCAACGCGAGGAACCUUACCAGCGUUUGACAUCCCAAGAAGUUAACAGAGAUGUUUUUCGUUGCCUCUUCGGAGGAACUUGGUGACAGGUUGGUGCAUGGCUGUCGUCAGCUCGUGUCGUGAGAUGUUGGGUUAAGUCCCGCAACGAAGCCCAACCCCUUUCGUAUGUUACCAUCAUUAAGUUGGGGACUCAUGCGAGACUGCCUGCGAUGAGCAGGAGGAAGGUGGGGAUGACGUCAAGUCAUCAUGCCCCUUAUACGCUGGGCUACACACGUGCUACAAUGGGUAGUACAGAGAGCUGCAAACCUGCGAGGGUAAGCUAAUCUCAUAAAACUAUUCUUAGUUCGGAUUGUACUCUGCAACUCGAGUACAUGAAGUUGGAAUCGCUAGUAAUCGCAAAUCAGCUAUGUUGCGGUGAAUACGUUCUCGGGUCUUGUACACACCGCCCGUCACACCACGAGAGUUGGUUGCACCUGAAGUAACAGGCCUAACCGUAAGGAAGGGAUGUUCCGAGGGU